RNAcentral lists this RNase P RNA (368 nucleotides) under Sarcina sp. DSM 11001. Its description in RNAcentral is "Bacterial RNase P class A". It matches the Rfam family "Bacterial RNase P class A". Rfam says of the family: Ribonuclease P (RNase P) is a ubiquitous endoribonuclease, found in archaea, bacteria and eukarya as well as chloroplasts and mitochondria. Its best characterised activity is the generation of mature 5'-ends of tRNAs by cleaving the 5'-leader elements of precursor-tRNAs. The record is from Rfam by way of RNAcentral. Lineage: Bacteria; Bacillati; Bacillota; Clostridia; Eubacteriales; Clostridiaceae.
UAAGCAGAGCGGAUGGUCGCGGUCCGGAGAGAUCCGGACUGAGGAAAGUCCGGGCUUCGCAGGGCAGGAUGCCGGAUAACGUCCGGUGGAGGUGACUCCCAGGCCAGUGCAACAGAAAUAUACCGCCUGCGGUGCAGAUCAGAUCCAGCUGAUCUGCUUCGCCGGUAAGGGUGAAAAGGCAGUGUAAGAGACUACCGUCUUUGUGGUAACACAAAGAGCCAUGUAAACCCCAUCCGAAGCAAGACCGAAACGAGGACCAUGGGUCGGCCCGGCCCGUUCUCAGGUGGGUCGCUUGAGGCUGUCGGUGACGGCAGUCCCAGAUAGAUGAUCAUCCAAGACAGAACCCGGCUUACAGCUCUGCUUAUUUU